CUUUCCCACCAUUUUUUUAAACCCGUUCAGAAAUGUAUAGUAAAAUCAAAAAACGUCUACUUUACUUUAUUUUUAAUUCAUUAGGUGUACAAUUUAUUUUUAUACAAAAAUAUACAAAAACACUUAUGCAAGCGAAUCGUGCCCACAGCUAAAGUUUAGCUGCUAAACUGUGAACACUAGGUGGAUACGUUAGCCGAGUGCUAACGUGACUAACUGAUGAAACAAUACAGUUUGUAAACCAAAAUAUGUCUACUGUAAUGUUUGAAGAACGACAGACAAAAGACGCUUGGUCUUAACUUUUAAUCAGAACGCAGAACAGUUGUAUCACAGGAGCACCAGCCGAAAUCACUCAUCUCUCCCGCAUUAACCCUGUAACUGCCAGUGCAGCACAAUAAACAGCAGUUUCACAAUUAUUAUAAAGUCUGUGUGCUACACUACAUUCUUUAUUAUUAAACAAAAAGUAAUUAGAACAACGUCAGUCUACAAUAAUCAACAUAUUCUUAGGUUCACUGCGAAUUUUAAGAACUACUUCAGUAAGACAGUAAUAUCGUGCUUUACCUGGAAACCUAAAGCUGCACUAGGUAUACAUCACAUAUUGGCACAAAUUUUUUUUAUUUUGAGCACUCAAUUGAAAAUGUACACCUAACGUAUCAAUCGUACUACUUACAGGUCGUGGUUCAGAGAGCUUGUUAAUCCAAAUUAAGAAGAUUAGAAGCCAACGAAGAUAAAAGCCCAGAUUAGAGAAGCAGUUCUUGAUAAAAUGACAAGCACACAACAAAAGGCUCGAAUUGUAUUUCUGUGGUAUCCUUGAACACCGCGUCUUCUCAACAUGAUGUAAACGCACUAAUAGCAAAAGUGUUUGUGGGCAGAUCAGACUCUGUUCGUAUUUCGCGGGCAGGCGGGGAUUAUGCAAAUGUGUUACCCAGUGACGUAUACCGGUAACAGACAAAAGAUUUGAAACUCGUAAAGGCGACUCUGAGUCGACUCUCUCUUUUGAGAGACAAUAUCUUUAUUUAUCAUGCACUUUUUUGAUUAACAACUUUGCAGAUUGUUUUCAUUUAAGGAUAGCUACGUUAUAAACUGCAAAAGAGAGAUUUUUCAAAAACCCAUAUGACCUGCUCUUUAAUUAAAGUAGUGGUUAAAAUGUUAAUUUGUCCUGCAUUAUUUAGUCAA
Cyprinus carpio carpio is the source of this 1173-nucleotide long non-coding RNA. The record is from Ensembl. Lineage: Eukaryota; Metazoa; Chordata; Actinopteri; Cypriniformes; Cyprinidae.